This 669-nucleotide long non-coding RNA is filed under the name Mus spicilegus (steppe mouse). RNAcentral describes it as "lncRNA (ENSMSIG00000012424.1)". Lineage: Eukaryota; Metazoa; Chordata; Mammalia; Rodentia; Muridae. The record is from RNAcentral.
AACAAAUAUAGUUUUACUGGCCAUAGCUGCAUUAGUCAUUUACAUAUUGUUUAUGAUUGCUUUCAUUCUACAGAGCUGGUUACCAGUAGCAGACAUGUCCUGAACCAUAAACUUAACUCUUCCUCUCAGGGUGAAGAGAAAUGGCAGUCCCCAAUGCUUCUUUAAUCUCAGUUAGUCACGGGCAUACUUAACUCUCCUUCACGCAAAGCUUUUAUUUAUUCGACAAAUACUUGCUGAGCACACCCCUUUUAAAACAAUGUUUAACUCUGUCUCUGUGGUUAGGGAAGUGCAUUCAGUGCCUGCCCUCAGCUCUCAUCCUUUGGUUGCGAUGGCCUUUGGUGGCUGUGAGGGGAGAAAGGGAAGAGGUCCCAUCCUUGGGUGCUUAGUGCAGCGAGGAGGCUUUGGAGUUAGCGAUUACCAAACACUUUUGUGUGGGUGCGGAUUGGGCUACCGGACUGCCUUGAAUCUCUGCUGCUUGCGCCCCGAAAAGGAAGAGGAUCAGUACCACGUGACCACCGGCGGCAAGCUCCGUUAGGAAAAGAUGUGAAGGAGGUCUCCGACUCUGAGUCAGUGGCCCUGGGCUCCAGAGCAAAGUAAGCAUGGGAAUGCAUGGAAUUUAUUUGUAGUUUGCAGGAAAUAAAGUGUUAUUGUUAGGGACGUUUCCUGUCA